GACGAACGCUGGCGGCGUGCCUCAUACAUGCAAGUCGAACGCAGUUGCGCACGGGUGAGUAACGCGUAGGUAACUGCCUCAUAGCGGGGGAUAACUAUUGGGAACGAUAGCUAAUACCGCAUACUGUGAGAUGUACCUGCGUUGUAUUAGCUAGUUGGUGAGGUAAAGGCUCACCAAGGCGACGAUACAUAGCCGACCUGGGAGGGGGAACGGCCAAACCGGGAAGGAGACACGGCCCAGACUCCUACGGGAGGCAGCACGAGGGAAUCUUCGGCAAUUGACGGAAGUCUGACCGAGCAACGCCGCGUGAGUGAAGAAGGUUUGCGGAUCGUAAAGCUCUGUUGUUAGAGAAGCGGUAACUACCCAGAAAGGGACGGCUAACUACGUGCCAGCAGCCGCGGUAAUAC
This 407-nucleotide ribosomal RNA is filed under the name uncultured bacterium. Its description in RNAcentral is "partial 16S ribosomal RNA". It matches the Rfam family "Bacterial small subunit ribosomal RNA", at positions 28 to 526 of the family's 1533-position model. The record is from RNAcentral.